Molecule: long non-coding RNA, 1697 nt
Organism: Harpia harpyja (harpy eagle)
Lineage: Eukaryota; Metazoa; Chordata; Aves; Accipitriformes; Accipitridae
Exons: 3
Source: RefSeq, a predicted model, not a curated record
GCCAGUUCCCAAGCCCGCUCCCGCCCUUCACCUCAGGCUGCGGCGGGGCCGGAGGGGAGCGCGGAGCGCAGAAACAAACCUGAAGUUUCUCCACCUCCCUUCAAGUGGCAUCACCCAGCUGCCUCCCACCUACGAUCACAGCUUACCUUGGGCUGAAGCGUCUUACCCAAAAAGACGUGGCACAUGGUGGUCACAGAGUACUAUGUCACAGACAGUGGUUGCUCCUCCAGGAGUCUCCCAGCACCUGAGAAGUUUGGCAGAGGAUGCCAGGCAGUGCUCGCUCGCUGCUGCAUAGCUCUCAGAGCAACCUCCAUCCAGCAAGCAGAAGGCUGUUUCCUCACCCAGUAUCCCUGUGCAGCCCACACAAAACCACAUCCUGAUUUUAGGCUCACCAUUCCCAUCUGGAGCCAGAUGGUUGGAUGGUCCACAUGGUCUACAAGGCUGAAGAGCAGCUAUAAACACAGUAUAAACAAGGGGUUCAGCUAGCACACAUUAAGACAGCUACAGGUUCAAGAACAGCUUUGAAGUCUGAUGAGUUCAUGGCAGCUUUAGGCAUUAAGUGAGGCAGAGCAAGGGUAAAGGAGCAGUUAACAGCCAGGGAACAUUUGUAAAAAGAAUUACACCCAAAAGCAAAGGAAAUGAUGAUUAAUCAGACCGAGGGGCCACCAUUAGAGCCUCACACACCUCCUCCAGGGAGGCUAACAGCAAAAGCAGCAGGAAACACUCCAUACUCCACUGAAAAUGCAGAACUGGAGGCAGAGGUAAUGCAGAGCCACAGAAGCUGAGAAGGGAUUUCAGACACACUGUUUUGAGCCCAACACCUGGUCAUGAAACUAAUGGACAGAAAUGCAGGAAACACUAAGGGGGCUUUAAAAGGAGCCUUGGGAGAAAAGUGGAAGCUUCCUUAGAAGUGUCUGAAACGGUAAACCAGAAGAAUAAAGAACAAGAGCACUGGAGGUGGAAGAGGUCUGGAAGUUAUUUGGGAGUUACAGACCUGACUGCUCAGCUGCUUAAAAUAUUUUGCAAGCUCAGGCACCUCAUCACUGCAAGAGUGUACCCUGCCCAGCAGAAAAAGCAGGCAAGCCUUUCCAUUUCGCCAGAGACAAGGGCAACAACUCAAAGUGGCUGUACGAUGACAAAAUGAGCCCACCAUUCACAGAAGCUUUCCCGAGGGCUCAACAUCCUCAAGGUAGCGAUGACGUCCACCUAGGGCUACAUUGCUGAGGGGUAACAGACGCUGUACAAAGCACCCUAUUUGCAGGAUGGGAGCAACGGUGUGCCAGGAUAGUACCAUGCCUUCUGACAGCUGCUGACAGGUUUGUGGCUCACUGUAGGCUGUAUCUGGCACAAUACACCCCCGUUUUCUUUCCAACAGCACAGUGUUGCAUCAAAAGAGCACCCUGGAAAAUGUAGGUACGUGUAGUAAACAACAGCCUGAACUGCACAUGGAAAGCAGUUAAAAACUCUUGCAAUAACCUCAAGAUACUCUCAGCCUUACCUUGUUGCAGGAAUUCCGCCUAAGAAUCACAUUUCAAGCUUUAAGUCAUCAGGAGCAAGACCUAUUUGUCUGUGCUAAGUGACUUUUAUCCAAAUAACCUAGCACAAGCAUGAGGUGUCUUGCUCCACUGACCCAACCUUCAUUCUUCUGAGCUAUCAAAAAAAAACCCCCCAAAAAACAACCCCACACUACUACACUU